UGGGGAAUAUUGCACAAUGGGGGAAACACUGAUGCAGCGACGCCGCGUGAGAGAAGAAGUAUCUCGGUAUGUAAAGCUCUAUCAGCAGGGAAGAAAAUGACGGUACCUGACUAAGAAGCCCCGGCUAACUACGUGCCAGCAGCCGCGGUAAUACGUAGGGGGCAUGCGUUAUCCGGAUUUACUGGGUGUAAAGGGAGCGUAGACGGCGGAGCAAGUCUGAAGUGAAAGCCCGGGGCUCAACCCCGGGACUGCUUUGGAAACUGUUCUGCUAGAGUGCUGGAGAGGUAAGUGGAAUUCCUAGUGUAGCGGUGAAAUGCGUAGUUAUUAGGAGGAACACCAGUGGCGAAGGCGGCUUACUGGACAGUAACUGACGUUGAGGCUCGAA
Molecule: ribosomal RNA, 385 nt
Filed under: uncultured bacterium
Lineage: Bacteria
Description: bacterial SSU rRNA
Rfam family: Bacterial small subunit ribosomal RNA
Source: RNAcentral